RNAcentral lists this ribosomal RNA (399 nucleotides) under Cercozoa sp. Its description in RNAcentral is "partial small subunit ribosomal RNA". It matches the Rfam family "Eukaryotic small subunit ribosomal RNA", at positions 582 to 975 of the family's 1831-position model. Lineage: Eukaryota; Cercozoa. The record is from RNAcentral.
AUUCCAGCUCCAGUAGCGUAUAUUAAAGUUGUUGCAGUUAAAAAGCUCGUAGUUGGAUUUCUGGUUUCACAGAACUGGCCUACUUCCUCAAGGUCGUGUGCGCCGUGUUUUGUGUACCAUCCUUCUAGAAAUUGUGUUCCAUCCCUUCACUGGGAUAGAUCCGAGAUCUAGAUCUUUUACUUUGAAGAAAUUAGAGUGUUCAAAGCAGGCUCGCGCUGUGAAUACAUUAGCAUGGAAUAAUAAUUUAGGACUUGGUAUCCUAUUUUGUUGGUUUUCAGGAUCUAAGUAAUGAUUGAUAGGGAUAGUUGGGGGCGCUAGUAUUUUGCGGCCAGAGGUGAAAUUCUAUGAUUCGCGAAAGACUAACUUAUGCGAAAGCAUUCACCAAGGAUGUCUUCAUCA